RNAcentral lists this ribosomal RNA (291 nucleotides) under Triticum aestivum (bread wheat). RNAcentral's name for it is "partial small subunit ribosomal RNA". Lineage: Eukaryota; Viridiplantae; Streptophyta; Magnoliopsida; Poales; Poaceae. The record is from RNAcentral.
AUGUUAUUUCCACUUCUUAUAUUACUACUUUUCACUUUGUUCAUUGGAUUCAUAGGAAUCUCUUUUGAUAAUGGAGGAAUUGGUAAUGGAAUAGCAGAGUUAACCAUAUUAUCAAAGUGGUUAACUCCCUCAAUAAACUUUACCUAGGAAAGUUCUAAUUCUUUUGUAAAUUCUUAUGAAUUUAUUACUAAUGCAAUUUCUUCUGUAAGUCUAGAUAUCUUUGGUUUAUUCAUAGUGUUGGGGAACGCAGUAUUUCAAAAAAAUUCCUACGAUCAUGCAAGAUCUAUCUAG